Molecule: ribosomal RNA, 684 nt
Filed under: uncultured Staphylococcus sp.
Lineage: Bacteria; Bacillati; Bacillota; Bacilli; Caryophanales; Staphylococcaceae
Description: bacterial SSU rRNA
Rfam family: Bacterial small subunit ribosomal RNA
Source: RNAcentral
CAAGUCGAGCGAACAGAUGAGAAGCUUGCUUCUCUGAUGUUAGCGGCGGACGGGUGAGUAACACGUGGGUAACCUACCUAUAAGACUGGGAUAACUCCGGGAAACCGGGGCUAAUACCGGAUAAUAUUUUGAACCGCAUGGUUCAAUAGUGAAAGACGGUUUCGGCUGUCACUUAUAGAUGGACCCGCGCCGUAUUAGCUAGUUGGUAAGGUAACGGCUUACCAAGGCGACGAUACGUAGCCGACCUGAGAGGGUGAUCGGCCACACUGGAACUGAGACACGGUCCAGACUCCUACAGGAGGCAGCAGUAGGGAAUCUUCCGCAUUGGGCGAAAGCCUGACGGAGCAACGCCGCGUGAGUGAUGAAGGUCUUCGGAUCGUAAAACUCUGUUGUUAGGGAAGAACAAAUUUGUUAGUAACUGAACAAGUCUUGACGGUACCUAACCAGAAAGCCACGGCUAACUACGUGCCAGCAGCCGCGGUAAUACGUAGGUGGCAAGCGUUAUCCGGAAUUAUUGGGCGUAAAGCGCGCGUAGGCGGUUUCUUAAGUCUGAUGUGAAAGCCCACGGCUCAACCGUGGAGGGUCAUUGGAAACUGGGAAACUUGAGUGCAGAAGAGGAGAGUGGAAUUCCAUGUGUAGCGGUGAAAUGCGCAGAGAUAUGGAGGAACACCAGUGGCGAAGGCG